RNAcentral lists this ribosomal RNA (440 nucleotides) under uncultured bacterium. RNAcentral's name for it is "bacterial SSU rRNA". It matches the Rfam family "Bacterial small subunit ribosomal RNA", at positions 338 to 795 of the family's 1533-position model. The record is from RNAcentral.
CCUACGGGGCGCAGCAGUGGGGAAUAUUGGACAAUGGGCGAAAGCCUGAUCCAGCAAUGCCGCGUGUGUGAAGAAGGUCUUCGGAUUGUAAAGCACUUUCGACGGGGACGAUGAUGACGGUACCCGUAGAAGAAGCCCCGGCUAACUUCGUGCCAGCAGCCGCGGUAAUACGAAGGGGGCUAGCGUUGCUCGGAAUGACUGGGCGUAUAGGGCGCGUAGGCGGUUUAUGCAGUCAGAUGUGAAAUCCCCGGGCUUAACCUGGGAACUACAUUUGAGACGCAUAGACUCGACGUCGAGAGAGGGUUGUGGAAUUCCCAGUGUAGAGGUGAAAUUCGUAGAUAUUGGGAAGAACACCGGUGGCGAAGGCGGCAACCUGGCUCGAUACUGACGCUGAGGCGCGAAAGCGUGGGGAGCAAACAGGAUUAGAUACCCCAGUAGUU